UAGGGAAUCUUCGGCAAUGGACGCAAGCCUGAUGGAGCAACACCGCGUGAGUGAAGAAGGGUUUCGGCUCGUAAAGCUCUGUUGUUAAAGAAGAACACGUAUGAGAGUAACUGUUCAUACGUUGACGGUAUUUAACCAGAAAGUCACGGCUAACUACGUGCCAG
RNAcentral lists this ribosomal RNA (164 nucleotides) under uncultured bacterium. RNAcentral describes it as "partial 16S rRNA". It matches the Rfam family "Bacterial small subunit ribosomal RNA", at positions 355 to 511 of the family's 1533-position model. The record is from RNAcentral.